Molecule: long non-coding RNA, 1717 nt
Organism: Acanthopagrus latus (yellowfin seabream)
Lineage: Eukaryota; Metazoa; Chordata; Actinopteri; Spariformes; Sparidae
Exons: 2
Source: RefSeq, a predicted model, not a curated record
CUGGGUCCACCAUAUCUGCUCCAGCGUCACAGAGUAUUUUUACAUGUGUGUAUUGUCGCUAAAGUAAAGGACCUGAAUACUUCGCCCCGCUUUGUAAGCAGCCAGUAGCAACUUUACGAGGAAAAAAAAAAAAACGUCUGGCAGUAUUGGCUGAGAUAACAGGGAAGCUUCCGUGAUACAACUUGUAAAGAUUUAUUUGACAAAAAGCUCAGAUAAAAAAACUGUUUUGUGGAAUAUUUUUUUUAUCGCUUUGACAACAGAACUGACAGCCCUCUCACCUCCUCAUUGUGCUAAGAUGGAGGCAGAAGUCUCAGAGGUGAAUAUCUCAAACGGGAGGAAAUACAUCACAACUGGCUGCAUGACUGGAUACGACUCGAGGUGGUGGGAGUGCACCUCAAGGCUUGUUGCCACAUGCCUUAAAACAAAAAAAGAAGAAGAAGAAGAUGCGUGCGUGCGUCCGAGUGGUUCUGACACUGUACUGAUGGCAGAUGUUACACCUAUGUCUUUUGUUCAUUAAUUCAUCUGGUUGCUUCUUCUUACUGUCACACAGACUCUCUCUUCGCCUCCUUAUACUUGUGUUACACGUGUAUUGUUUCAACAAAAAAAGAGACAAAAGCUGACAUUUCCCUGACAGCGUACAUAUACAAUAUAUUUCAGAUAAUUUAGAGAUUUUCCGAUAUUGUUACUCCUCUAACUCGCACCAAAACCAUCUAGAUAGAUAAAUUGCACUGCAGUUAAGAAGUAAAAUAUGCAUUUAUAUUUGGGGCAAACAGUCAAUUUAAAAGGCAAAAAUAGCUCAAACAAAAUAACUUAUAGGCCUAUAUUGUUGUUGAAAAAGGCCACCAUCCUGCCUUAUAAUUUAAAUCUUUGACGAUUCACACUGUCUCUAAGGUGGUGAAACACUGACUGUGUGCAUGCUGACUGCAGUGAGGGCGUCUGGCUGCUGUUCAUAAUUCAAGAAGGACUUUUUAGUGAUGAUGCUCUAAGUCAGACAGCAGCACCGACGAGGGGGAGUCAUCUUCUGCACAGCCCUCCCUUUAACUAAACCCCCCUCGCCCAGCCAUCCGCACCAUAACACCUCCCUCUCACUCUCCCUCCCCCCCACCAUCUCUCUUACUCCCUUUUCCCCACAGCACAGCUUCUCUUUCAUCUUACUUUCAUGUUUCUCUCUCUUUCCCUCACCCCCUGCCUUAAUUCUGUUGUCAUCUCCAUCCCCAUUUCCACCUCAGACCCUGCUUCAUCACUGCUUUCAUCCCCUCUUCAUCAUCGCUUCAGGAUCAUCCGUCUCUCUCCCCUGCUCUUCUCUCUUCAGUGCUCCUUCAGCCCCUCACCCUCCUCCACUUUCUUCCUCCUUCUUUCUCUAUAGGGGGCUUCAGGCUGCCAGUGUGCCUUGCUGCUAAGUGCACAUACACACAAACAUGCCCAAACAUGAACACAGGCGCACACCUCCCCAGGGUGCCUUGGACUUGGCUCCGUCCUGCUGUGGUACCGAUCUGCUCACCAAGGUGAGGGGGCGUCUGUCCAUGUUUCAUCACUCUGCCCACUCAGCUGAGAUGGUGAAGUUCUGGUUUGGGUGUGGUUAUUGCCAUAGAUGUAAAUUACUGGAUCGAUUAUAGUGCAAAAAUGUCUGAACAAUGAUUUUUAAUAACAGGUCAUAAUCUUUACCUAUCUUGAUAUUUUAUUUUUAUUUAAAUAAACGAGAACUUCCAAAUCUUAA